Non-coding RNA from Bombyx mori (domestic silkworm), 74 nucleotides. The record is from Rfam. Lineage: Eukaryota; Metazoa; Arthropoda; Insecta; Lepidoptera; Bombycidae.
UUAAGUCAAAUUUGUAUGGAAUUGGAACGUUUGCCGCUAGGGGCGCUGUUCCAAUUGCAUACAAAUGUGAGUUA